RNAcentral lists this ribosomal RNA (858 nucleotides) under uncultured bacterium. Its description in RNAcentral is "bacterial SSU rRNA". It matches the Rfam family "Bacterial small subunit ribosomal RNA", at positions 33 to 896 of the family's 1533-position model. The record is from RNAcentral.
ACGUGCCAGCAGUCUUAAUACAUGCAGUCGAACGGAGGAUGUAGCAUAUGUCCUCAGUGGCGAACGGGUGAGUAACGCGUUGGUGACCUGCCCCGAAGCGUGGGAUAACAGCUCGAAAGGGCUGCUAAUACCGCAUGAGGUCUAGGAGGCUAGAGGCUUCGAGACGAAAGGAGUGCGUUCGUAAGAACGCCCCGCUUUGGGAGGGGCCUGCGUCCCAUCAGCUAGUUGGUAAGGUAAAGGCUUACCAAGGCGAAGACGGGUAGGGGGCCUGAGAGGGUGACCCCCCACACUGGCACUGAAACACGGGCCAGACACCUACGGGUGGCAGCAGUAGGGAAUAUUGCACAAUGGGCGAAAGCCUGAUGCAGCAACGCCGCGUGCGCAAAGAAGGUCUUCGGAUCGUAAAGCGCUUUUUGGGGAGAUGAGGAAGGACAGUAUCCCCAGAAUAAGGCUCGGCUAACUACGUGCCAGCAGCCGCGGUAAAACGUAGGAGCCAAGCGUUAUCCGAAUUCACUGGGCGUAAAGCGCGUGCAGGCGGUCUGGUAAGUUGGAUGUGAAAUCUCCUGGCUCAACUGGGAGAGGCCGUUCAAUACUGUCAGACUAGAGGGCGACAGAGGGAGGUAGAAUUCCCGGUGUAGUGGUGAAAUGCGUAGAUAUCGGGAGGAAUACCAGAGGCGAAGGCGACCUUCUGGGUCGUACCUGACGCUCAGACGCGAAAGCUAGGGGAGCGAACGGGAUUAGAAACCCCGGUAGUCCUAGCCGUAAACGAUGUAGACUGGGUGUUGGCGGGGGUAAAAGCCGUCAGUGCCGAAGCAAACGCGAAAAGUCUACCGCCUGGGGACUACGGCCGCAAGGUUA